CCAGGGAGCUGGUAUGUGAAAUGUUGGGUUGUUUAAAGAAAGCUAAGGGCUCAGAAAAACUACAUCUACACUGACGCCAGCUCAGAAACCAACGUUCUGAUGCCAUGUCAGGUCAGACAUACCAUCUCUGUCACUUUGGCAGCUCAGACAACAUCAUGAGGCCAGGGUGGGGCGCUCGGAUACCACCUGUCGAGACCUGUAGGUUUACCUGCAGCUUUGUUGCUCAAGAUUCCAUCUGCUGAGAACUGUAAAUUUGCUUGCAGUAUUGUUGUGAUUGCGUCCUGUAGUGUCUUUGGAUUUGCUUUGAUCCUGAAUAAAACUCUUUUAAUUGAA
Acipenser ruthenus (sterlet) is the source of this 333-nucleotide long non-coding RNA. RefSeq lists it as uncharacterized. The record is from RefSeq and is a predicted model, not a curated record. NCBI's taxonomy places the organism in Eukaryota, Metazoa, Chordata, Actinopteri, Acipenseriformes, Acipenseridae. The transcript has 2 exons.